GACGAACGUUGGCGGCGUGCUUAACACAUGCAAGUCGAACGGAAAGGCCCUGCUUUUGUGGGGUGCUCGAGUGGCGAACGGGUGAGUAACACGUGAGUAACCUGCCCUUGACUUUGGGAUAACUUCAGGAAACUGGGGCUAAUACCGGAUAGGAGCUCCUGCUGCAUGGUGGGGGUUGGAAAGUUUCGGCGGUUGGGGAUGGACUCGCGGCUUAUCAGCUUGUUGGUGGGGUAGUGGCUUACCAAGGCUUUGACGGGUAGCCGGCCUGAGAGGGUGACCGGCCACAUUGGGACUGAGAUACGGCCCAGACUCCUACGGGAGGCAGCAGUGGGGAAUAUUGCACAAUGGGCGGAAGCCUGAUGCAGCAACGCCGCGUGCGGGAUGACGGCCUUCGGGUUGUAAACCGCUUUCGCCUGUGACGAAGCGUGAGUGACGGUAAUGGGUAAAGAAGCACCGGCUAACUACGUGCCAGCAGCCGCGGUGAUACGUAGGGUGCGAGCGUUGUCCGGAUUUAUUGGGCGUAAAGGGCUCGUAGGUGGUUGAUCGCGUCGGAAGUGUAAUCUUGGGGCUUAACCCUGAGCGUGCUUUCGAUACGGGUUGACUUGAGGAAGGUAGGGGAGAAUGGAAUUCCUGGUGGAGCGGUGGAAUGCGCAGAUAUCAGGAGGAACACCAGUGGCGAAGGCGGUUCUCUGGGCCUUUCCUGACGCUGAGGAGCGAAAGCGUGGGGAGCGAACAGGCUUAGAUACCCUGGUAGUCCACGCUGUAAACGGUGGGUACUAGGUGUGGGGUCCAUUCCACGGGUUCCGUGCCGUAGCUAACGCUUUAAGUACCCCGCCUGGGGAGUACGGCCGCAAGGCUAAAACUCAAAGGAAUUGACGGGGCCCCGCACAAGCGGCGGAGCAUGCGGAUUAAUUCGAUGCAACGCGUAGAACCUUACCUGGGUUUGACAUGGAUCGGGAGUGCUCAGAGAUGGGUGUGCCUCUUUUGGGGUCGGUUCACAGGUGGUGCAUGCCUGUCGUCAGCUCGUGUCGUGAGAUGUUGGGUUAAGUCCCGCAACGAGCGCAACCCUUGUUCACUGUUGCCAGCACGUUAUGGUGGGGACUCAGUGGAGACCGCCGGGGUCAACUCGGAGGAAGGUGGGGAUGACGUCAAGUCCUCAUGCCCCUUAUGUCCAGGGCUUCACGCAUGCUACAAUGGCUGGUACAGAGAGUGGCGAGCCUGUGAGGGUGAGCGAAUCUCGGAAAGCCGGUCUCAGUUCGGAUUGGGGUCUGCAACUCGACCUCACGAAGUCGGAGUCGCUAGUAAUCGCAAAUCAGCAACGCUGCGGUGAAUACGUUCCCGGGGCC
Molecule: ribosomal RNA, 1346 nt
Filed under: uncultured bacterium
Lineage: Bacteria
Description: bacterial SSU rRNA
Rfam family: Bacterial small subunit ribosomal RNA
Source: RNAcentral